UACGUAGGGUGCAAGCGUUAAUCGGAAUUACUGGGCGUAAAGCGCGCGCAGGCGGUCCUUUAAGUCUGAUGUGAAAGCCCACGGCUCAACCGUGGAGGGUCAUUGGAAACUGGGGGACUUGAGUACAGAAGAGAAGAGUGGAAUUCCACGUGUAGCGGUGAAAUGCGUAGAGAUGUGGAGGAACACCAGUGGCGAAGGCGGCGAUCUGGGAAGAUACUGACGCUGAGGUGCGAAAGCGUGGGGAGCAAACAGG
Molecule: ribosomal RNA, 253 nt
Filed under: uncultured bacterium
Lineage: Bacteria
Description: partial 16S ribosomal RNA
Rfam family: Bacterial small subunit ribosomal RNA
Source: RNAcentral